CCCCCGACCCCUGCACUGAGGGCCACCCCUGUGGGAUGUGCUGGUGAACAGGACCUGACUGACCUCAAGGAGCCGCCCUCCUCUGAAGAGGGAAGAAAAGCCCCCCACGGGCGUUUCCUGCUUCCAGGAGAGCCCGCCAAGGGCUGCCUCCGUGCCCUUCCGCAGUAGCAGCUGAGCGAGGUGCUCCCGGGGGGACGGGCGGGCCACAGACCUGCAGGUUCUGCACAAAGCAAAAGGAAGCUGACAUCACCAGAGGGAGGUAAACAGAAAGACACUUCCUCUUUCGCUUCCAAGGGCUCCUGCCCGAUUCAGAAGGUUCUCAAACUACAGAACAAUUUCCCUCCCAGCCUGGACGGGGGCUUUGUGACCUGUUCUGGGGCUGCCCCCUUUGUGGCACAGAGAGGGUUAAAAACAGACAAAGCCAGUGGGAGUCCUAGAGCUAGAACAGAAUCCCAGAGCAGGGCUGGGGGGUCGGUUUCCAUGCCAACAGCUGCCCCACCCCAUCCCGUCCCCUUCGAGGGUGGGGAAACUCAGUCCCCAAGGGUUCAAGCCAUCUCUGCACAGAUGACUUGAACAGACAAGGCCUCAGUCCUGUGGUUUGGGGGCCCAGGAAACUCGCCUCACCCAAGCAGCUUUCUCACCAUUGGCUCCAGAUGCCUACAUGUCCGUCGUCGUGUCAUUACUCCCUGGGGUGUCUCGUCUCGGCUGGAGCAGCAGGGAAACCUCGGUUGGGGGGAGCUUCCACUCUGCCACGGCAAGUCCUCUUCUCUCUCUGGUCUCAGUCUCCUUCCCGGCGGAAGGGGCUCCGGCAGCUGCCUCACAGAGCCACUGGGAAGACUACUGAGGCACAACAGUACCAAAAACCAAGAAGGAAGCCCCUGUCCAGGCCAGACCAGACCCCGAGCCAAAGCGAACACCCAGAAGUGCACGAGGCGGCAUGAGGUUGGCGGGGACACAAGGUAAGUGUCCCGUCCCUGCCUUCGGCAGCCCAGAUGCCUUGGGGAGGAGCCCCCCAGGAUGGCGAGCUUGAGCCUGAUGCCCUCAUCAGGCCCCCCGUGAAGAAGAGAGAGGAGCACCGAGUGUCCUUUCUGAGUGCCCAGGCUGGGAGGGUGCUCUGUGGCCUCCUGCGGCCAAGGCCAGCGCCUGCGCUCAGCUGGCUCCAGCCUGUGACACUUUGAUGUUCCCCAAACUGGAGUCCCCGGAGCCACGUCCAGCUGGCGCUUCCUAACAGGUAUUUUUCAUCACGGAGAAAGGAAAGCCCUCGUGGAAGAGCUGCAGGUGGCCUCGAGGGCAGCCACGCCACGCCUGCUCCCGGGGCUCAUCGGUUCCGUGGCCGGGACCCUCGUGCCCGCCCAUGACUCCUCCACAGUUAUGGUCCCAGGAACUCCGGGACCUGCGUGUCCCCAGACCAGUCCGGUCAGUGCCGCCGGGCAGAUGCUUGCGGGAGGCCAGCGCCCGCGGCUGGAGGUUCCUCCGGGAAUGAAAACCGCCCCUGAGGGUGUAUCGUGGUACCUGCUCAGGGCUGCUGGGGACCCCGCCGUGAGCAAGGAUCCCAAUUCCUGUUCUCUGAGCUUCAGGACAGGAGCCAGGGCACAGGGUACGAGCCGGGGAGGAAAACGAUGAUGGGGACGCGGGUUUCGGAGUGUGUGUCGCCGAAGACGUUGACGUUUUGGAUCAGGUGGCCCUGAAGACCUCGGUCUCUCUUCAAGAGCUCCGCCAAGGUCGCAAGUUGUGAGGGCGCUGAGACCGUCCGGCACGUGCUGUUCAGGUGUUGCUCCGGCUCGGUGUUCCCCGCAGACCCAUCGAUGGAGCAUUUGUCAAAUACACCAAUGCAGUUGGGCCAGGAGGCGGAGCCAGAGCUGCGGCGGUGAGAGUGGGUGCUUAGCCUUCCUGCCACGAUGGCAAAACUCCGGGUGAGGACAAACCGCUUCCGGGAAGACUGGACCCCGGCACCGGCUGUCGCCCCAGUGCCGUCGGUGCAGGGACGUGGCGAGGCGGCCUCCUGACGCCCGGGGGCUGAGAAGCCUGAUGCAGAAAUCAGGGCAUGAGGUGAGCUCGGUCUGUUGGAGGAGAAAUCAUUUUACAUAAACGCACUUUUGGCUAAAGAAAGAUUUCGCAGUAAGGGAAAGAGCAGAGUUCGGGGUUGACUUGGCGCUCUCACACGAUUCUUUAGAACGGGUUUAAUUAGAACAGGUUCCAAAUGGCUGUAGGAAAACCCCACAGUCCAUACUAACCCAGAGACCCCUUGCUAAAUCCAGGCUGUGUCUGGGGCAGGGGGCCGCGGUGCUGGGGACAAUCGCCCCAUUUGACUUGGAUUCCCACCGUGGUAUGAGCCGGUCACUCAGUCGCUGAGGCGGGGGGCGAUGCGGCUGGUCCACGCCCGGCUGGCUCCAGGCUCCGGGCUGCUCUGUGCUGGGUACGGGGUGAACGGUGUCUCUGAGAAGGACGGACUGACACCAGGCUUAGCAAUCCCCCCACUGCUCCCCCAGCACACGCAGCAGUCCAGCGUCCCCAGACCUCAGCUUGAGGCCUGCCGCCCCCCCCCCCCCGGCCAUCUUGGACAGUGGUCUGGAGCAGGGGGACCUGACAGUCUGGGAAGGUCUGGGGCUGCGGGGACCUGCUGACUUGUCUCCGCACCCCUGACACACGGCAGAUGCUCAGUGAUCGCUGCUGUGCGUGCAUCGGGGAACUUGUCUCCUGGAUCCGUUUUCGGAGACUCAUUAAAUGCCGGUCAACGCCAUGCCUGACAAACACAAGGGCAGGCCUGCCCUAAUCCAGGACGAUCUUGUCCUAAAGUAGCUUCACAUCUGCAAAGAUGUUUCCAAGUAAGGUCACGUUCCAAGGCACAGGGGACAUGAGUUUGGAGGGACGCUUUCCCCUCCAGCUAAGAGUCUGAGGGAUCUCCCCCCUUCCCCAUAUGAUCUCACAGCUGUCCGCUCAUAUGUUCCCAUGGGGGGGCUGCUUCUCAGGGGUGCAGGGCUGAUGCACAGAGCUGUGCGGCGAGAGGCUGGGGCUCGGCCUGGGGCAGGGUGGGUGGGGGGUGUCCCGAGUGGCUCCCACAAGCCCGAGACUGGGUACCAAGGCACAGGUCAGAACUGGGAAUGGCCAGGCCGGGGGUGGGGGUGGGGAUGCGGCCAGAGUGGAGCAGAGGAUGGGGGGGGACAGGGCGGGACAGGGGGAGGGAAGGCCGUGGGCAAGUUCUGGAGGGGGUGGCUAGGUGCGAGGAUGCCCCUGGGUUCCUGGGCUCCCUCUCCUGGGUUUCUCCUGGAGCAAGCAGACACUCCCGUGCCCGUCCAGCAGGGGAGGAAGACCCCAGCCUGGGUAAGUGGAAGGUGAGGAGCUGUCUCCCUUCUCCAAGAUCUGACCCCCAGCGGGAGCCGGAACGAGCUCUUAAACCCAUGCACAGGGUGAGGGCUGUUUUCAGGUAAUGAGAACAUCUGAGACCCAAAGCCUGUGGUGCUUUUAACGAAAUGCACCCUGACUGACUGUGCUGGCCCGGCCCUUCCAGACCAUUUGCUGUCAGGGCCCUCGGUCCUCCCAGGAGGGGGUGGAGUGCACUCAGGGCCUGCCGCCUCCUCCCUCAGCAGGAGUGUUCCUAGAUGCAUGGAGGGAAGUGGGAGUGGCUCCUUCCUUCCUUGAAGCCCUUGGAAGGGCUUCAGGGCUUGAUGAGGACUAAGGACAUCUCAGUGGGUCAGGGGUGAAUGGGGGAGGGGGGACCCAGGUCCCCCAGGGAUCCACUGAGUCCCCUGUCCACCAGAUAGCUCUCCGUCUCCCUCUUCUCCAGGUGUGCACACGCACGCACAUGCACACGCACGUGCAGAGGCAAACACACAGGUGUGAGUACACACCUGGAAAUGCCGCCGCCAGCUGGGGAAGGAGGGAUGGAGCUCGGGAGCAGGGGGUCCUCCAGGCCUCUGCCCCACCUUGACCAUGAGGUCAGCCUGGCUUUGGCUUUAGAGACGAAGGCCGGGGUGGGACAGGAGAGCCCCCUGCCGCUCUGACCUGAGCCGGUCCAAGAAACACACCUGCUGGCUGGGGACCUGGCAAGCCCAGGACUUCUGAGCCUUCUCUGUGGGCGGGAAUAGGACCACCCUCCUGGGCCGGGACAGAGAGUGCCCUGCUACGACUGAGCUCCACAGGGAGGUGGAGCCCUGGGAGGAGAAAUCCUGUCUCUUUGGGGAAAGUCGUAUUUCCAGUCUGGCAGCAGAGGCCCCCCUCUGUGUCCCUGAGGCCCUGCUCUGUCCUUUCUGAGCUUGUUCAGGACCCAGCUGGAAGCCCUGCCCUGGGUGGUGAAGAGACAGGGAGGCCACCAGCCCUCCCCAGUGUCCAUGCCAACACGCACCGUGUGUCGGGGGAGACAGGCACCACCUGCACUUACAAAACACUGUGAGGUGACGGCUUUGAACCCUCACCGUCCUGGGAGCUACAGACUGGACUGACUUUGGCCCGGUGGUCUGAAAAGCCCUUCUAGUAUACCGUUCCCAUGAGGGAGCUGUUGUUAACUGCCCAGCAGACGUCAGGAUCCCUGCAGAGGGGCUGAAGGGCUCACUCGGGGGUGAGCCUGUCUCACCCGGGAAGGCUCUGGCCACACACAGAGCAAGGUCAGCCUCGGGCAGGGGCCUGGGCUUUGGAGGCAGACUGGCCCAGGUUUGCCUCCUCGCGCUGACUACUGGACGCUUUUGGGUCCGUGGCUGACCUGCCUGAGCCUCGGGUCCUGAUCUACGAAGUGAGGGGGCACGUCGUCAUGGUGUUGCAGGCAACGGAGAAGAGAAUGCACGUGUCUACAUAAGGCAGCGCGCACCGGCUGGGCGGGCAGACUUUGCCAGCAUCACCACAGCCUGCCCCUCACCUCUGUCGGCCCUGGCCAGGCUGGGUAGUGUCGCAGGGGGUCCCCCGGAGGGGAGAGUCCAGGAGCAGGGACAUCUGUCUUGGACUGAGGGUCCAACUGUGCCUUCAUGCCAGCCUCAUGGGGUCCGUCUGGCUCUCCCCUUCGCAGCUGGCAAAGGGUGCAGGGCGGGCUCGGAGGGGUCUUGUCGCUGCCAGCGCUCGUGCCCUUUGCCCCGGACGGGAUGUAGGGCAGCACAUUGUCUUCUGAAGAGUGCCGCUGGAGAGGGGCUGGGCUGGCCCGAGGCUCCGGAGCCGGGAGCAGGUGAGGGGGAAGGCUGGCUAGGAGGUUAGAAGCCCAGGGGCAGCACAGAGGUCACGGGCCUCAUGGUCAGAGGAACACGAUGGGGGCUUGAGAGCUGCAUUGGGGUGUGGAGGGUCGCCCUAACUGGGAAGCAGGGAGGCAGGUACAGGGGGGUGGGGGACUUCCUGAAGGGAGGUGGUAUCUGAUCCAAGGAAAGGUAAACCAGAGUUACCGGGGAGGGAAGGGGAAAGAGCCUUCUAGGGCAGCAGGAACCACAGGUGCAGAGGAAAAUAACCUUGAGUCACCUUGGCCUCUCUCAAGUGCAGGUUAGCGCCUUUCUUCCUCUUUUCCACCCAUUCACUGUCAGCUGCCUCUUUUUACUAGUCUUGAUUCCCGGUCUGGAUGGGUUAAGAUAGUUUUCACAUCUGUCCCCUCCUCCCGCCUGAGCACCGGCAGCGGCUGACCACAGUGGCAGCUGACGACCCGUCGGGCACCGCUGGCUUCCCUGUUUCCUGUGGAAGUCACCUUUUGUCCCCAUCCUUGCAGCCUGCCCGCAGUCUCGGGACAUCGGGGACAGAUUUACGAAGUGUUUCGUAUUUACGAAGAACAUGUCUGACUGUGGUAACACGGGCCCUCCUGCCCCACCUGCCGAACACUCACACGGCCUCCGCUCCCAUCCCGAACUCAGCGUGGGCACCCGUUGUCCUGCCUUACACUCUUCUGACCCUGGUGUGUCUGUCCACGCUUGGACUUUGCUACCUGAUGCCAUAGCGCGUGUUUUCCUGUGACUUUAUCCUUCUAACUCAGUACUGGGUCGGCGAGUCCCUGCUGAAUGGCCAGCACCCUGCGGGGCAGCUGGACCCUCACCACGGACGGGGGGACUUUAUCCUCUUACUCAUCAAACAUCUCGGGAUGUUUGGAUGUUUGGGAGCUGGGCCCGGGAGGCGAUGUAUGCAGGGUGCGAAGGGCCGGCCUGGGGUCCCCAGCCUGUGGGCGCUGGGCCGGGUCCAUGUCGGGGCAGAGCCGAUUUCUACCCCAGGACGCCCCAGAACUGCCAGGCCCGAUGGUGGCCGGCUCACGGGAGACGUGUGAUGGACGUUUCUCGUGCAGAACGGGAGUCACUCCUCAGGGAGGGGAGCACUGUUGCUUCCAUUUUGCCACCAACAACGCAGAGCAUUGACCCGAGGUGACGCGGGCCUGAGAAGCCUGGCGGGACCUGGACACCGCCUAGGAUCCCUGCAGGACCACGGGGCCAGCCUGACACAUGGCCCAGCGCCGCUCGGGGCAGGGCCUGGUGGAGGGCUUGUUGGAUCUGGUGGCUGCAGUGAUGGGCCGCCCUUUGCACCCCUGCGAGCCCCAGGAGGCGCUAAGCUCCGAGAUUAUUCAGCCUCCGAGGGAGCCUCGCAGUUAGCACUUCCCAACACAUGGCUUCCUUCUCUUCAUGAACAUUUGGAAGAGAAAACUACCAUCGCCAGUGGGGCUCUUCAGCUGCUUAGGGCAGGAGGUCAGAGGUGUCUGGCAAGGUGGUGGCCGCCAUGCCGUGGACCCUGAUCCGGGCCAGGGCAGAGCAGUGGGCAGGACAGACUUCCCUCACCAGCUCCUCGGCUGCAGGACCCAAGUACUCGCUUGUGGGCUCUGCACACACCGCGCCGUCCCCUCUGCCUCGCCUGCCGGGCGCUCCUCUUCUCCCUGGGAAAUGCCUUUUCAGCUUCGUGGCUGGUCUCAGGGGCUUCUCCUCCUGCCUGAGCCCCCCGGAACAUGGCUCUGAUUCCUCAGUGCCUCUGCCUCCCUUCUCCCGUGGGUGCGCCCCUGCCGGCCCAGGAGCUCCUGGGGGGAGGGCUUGUGUUUUAUUCUUUGUGCACCCAGCUGCUAUCAUAGGACCAGACCUAUAGUAGGUGCUCAAUAAACACCCCAACAGAAAUGAGGACACUGAGGCUUGGGGGUGAGGCGCCUUCCUAGCUAGUGCCUUCAGACGGCCUGGGUCCGGAAGUGAUCGCAUCUCAGCGCUUCACGGUGAACCUUUUCUCCCAACAUGCUGGUCCGCUCAUUUCCUGGAGAAAACUGUUUAUUCAGACUCGUGUUUUUCUUUGGGGAUAUGCAAACUUUACCCAGAAAAGCCAAAGCCUGGCUUAUAUUUUCACAUGGAAAACCAGCAAGGCCUUGGCUCUGGAUUUUUGUGAGGA
Long non-coding RNA from Lutra lutra (Eurasian river otter), 7311 nucleotides. RefSeq lists it as uncharacterized. The transcript has 4 exons. The record is from RefSeq and is a predicted model, not a curated record. Lineage: Eukaryota; Metazoa; Chordata; Mammalia; Carnivora; Mustelidae.